GCGUUAUUAGCGUAGUGGACAAAGUCUCGGCUUGCCAAUCCGAAGGUCCCGGGUUCGAUUCCCGGUUAAGUCC
RNAcentral lists this transfer RNA (73 nucleotides) under Habropoda laboriosa. It matches the Rfam family "tRNA". Rfam says of the family: Transfer RNA (tRNA) molecules are approximately 80 nucleotides in length. Their secondary structure includes four short double-helical elements and three loops (D, anti-codon, and T loops). Lineage: Eukaryota; Metazoa; Arthropoda; Insecta; Hymenoptera; Apidae. The record is from Rfam by way of RNAcentral.